GGACGGUAAGCUAACCCGGUGGAAGCGCCAGACUGAAGAUCUGGAGGGACUGGUCCGACACCAGUACCGUCCA
This 73-nucleotide transfer RNA is filed under the name Lachnospiraceae bacterium. RNAcentral's name for it is "tRNA-Phe". It matches the Rfam family "tRNA". From Rfam's summary of the family: Transfer RNA (tRNA) molecules are approximately 80 nucleotides in length. Their secondary structure includes four short double-helical elements and three loops (D, anti-codon, and T loops). Further hydrogen bonds mediate the characteristic L-shaped molecular structure. tRNAs have two regions of fundamental functional importance: the anti-codon, which is responsible for specific mRNA codon recognition, and the 3' end, to which the tRNAs corresponding amino acid is attached (by aminoacyl-tRNA synthetases). tRNAs cope with the degeneracy of the genetic code in two manners: having more than one tRNA (with a specific anti-codon) for a particular amino acid; and 'wobble' base-pairing, i.e. permitting non-standard base-pairing at the 3rd anti-codon position. Lineage: Bacteria; Bacillati; Bacillota; Clostridia; Lachnospirales; Lachnospiraceae. The record is from RNAcentral.